Neogobius melanostomus (round goby) is the source of this 135-nucleotide small nucleolar RNA. NCBI's taxonomy places the organism in Eukaryota, Metazoa, Chordata, Actinopteri, Gobiiformes, Gobiidae. The record is from Ensembl.
GGGCACUGCCUUUGAACCCCUCUGGUCUAUGUGUGACCUUUUGGGCCAAGCUGCAGUGCAACAGUAAAGACUUGUUCAUAACUGGAGCAUUCUGGAUGUUCCACCAGACUGCUCUUUUAAAUGCAAGUCACAGCC